RNAcentral lists this ribosomal RNA (425 nucleotides) under uncultured bacterium. Its description in RNAcentral is "partial 16S ribosomal RNA". It matches the Rfam family "Bacterial small subunit ribosomal RNA", at positions 354 to 796 of the family's 1533-position model. The record is from RNAcentral.
GUGGGGAAUAUUGGACAAUGGGCGCAAGCCUGAUCCAGCAAUGCCGCGUGGGUGAAGAAGGUCUUCGGAUCGUAAAGCACUUUCGACAGGGACGAUGAUGAAGGUACCUGUAGAAGAAGCCCCGGCUAACUUCGUGCCAGCAGCCGCGGUAAUACGAAGGGGGCUAGCGUUACUCGGAAUUACUGGGAGUAAAGGGCGCGUAGGCGGCUCUGUUAGUCAGGCGUGAAAUUACUGGGCUUAACCUGGGGACUGCGCUUGAUACUGCAGGGCUUGAGGCCGAGAGAGGGUGGUGGAAUUCCCAGUGUAGAGGUGAAAUUCGUAGAUAUUGGGAAGAACACCGGUGGCGAAGGCGACCACCUGGAUCGGUUCUGACGCUGAGGCGCGACAGCGUGGGGAGCAAACAGGAUUAGAUACCCCAGUAGUCC